UGUAACUUAUCUGAUCGAGUUAGACAUUGAAACAUACUAGCUAACCAAAUUGUGAGACAAAAAGAUAAGGCAACACAACAUCUAAAAUGUGAAUCCUGGACCAUGAAGGUCAUGACCUGUAUGACAAUAACCCAUACAAACAAUGUUAGAAAAGCCUAAAAAAUAUGUACUAGCUAGCCAACGAGGCCGCAACUGAAGAUAUACCUACUCUCUCUCUCUCUCAC
This 224-nucleotide long non-coding RNA is filed under the name Solanum tuberosum (potato). RNAcentral's name for it is "long non-coding RNA (STUB_LNC004277)". The record is from RNAcentral. Lineage: Eukaryota; Viridiplantae; Streptophyta; Magnoliopsida; Solanales; Solanaceae.